This 234-nucleotide unclassified non-coding RNA is filed under the name Hevea brasiliensis (rubber tree). The record is from RNAcentral. Lineage: Eukaryota; Viridiplantae; Streptophyta; Magnoliopsida; Malpighiales; Euphorbiaceae.
AUCAGAACUGCAAUCUUUGGUAGGGCUAAUAGCGAUACUGGUUGCUUUGUACCAACCAAACUUAAAAAGAUAAACAAGAAGAUUUGCUGAUUUCUUCAGUUGCUUUUGUAAUCCAGUUGAAAUGAUAGAUAUGGCUUUUGCAUACAGUGUAUGAUCUACUUGAACUUUGAAAUAUAUUUUUUAAAAGGUGCAUCUUUUGUGUACUUCUUGUGUGCUUGGGCUUCCUGAACAGAA